CUUUCCCUCUGGCGGCAGGCCUAACACAUGCAAGUCGAGCGGAUGAAGGGAGCUUGCUCCUGGAUUCAGCGGCGGACGGGUGAGUAAUGCCUAGGAAUCUGCCUGGUAGUGGGGGAUAACGUCCGGAAACGGGCGCUAAUACCGCAUACGUCCUUAGGGAGAAAGUGGGGGAUCUUCGGACCUCACGCUAUCUGAUGAGCCUAGGUCGGAUUCGCUAGUUGGUGGGGUAAAGGCGUACCAAGGCGACGAUCCGUAACUGGUCUGAGAGGAUGAUCAGUCGCACUGGAACUGAGACACGGUCCAGACUCCUACGGGAGGCAGCAGUGGGGAAUAUUGGACAAUGGGCGAAAGCCAGAUCCAGCCAUGCCGCGUGUGUGAAGAAGGUCUUCGGAUUGUAAAGCACUUUAAGUUGGGAGGAAGUGCAGUAAGUUAAUACCUUGUUGUUUUGACGUUACCAACAGAAUAAGCACCGGCUAACUUCGUG
This 484-nucleotide ribosomal RNA is filed under the name uncultured bacterium. RNAcentral's name for it is "partial 16S ribosomal RNA". It matches the Rfam family "Bacterial small subunit ribosomal RNA", at positions 36 to 507 of the family's 1533-position model. The record is from RNAcentral.